AAUUCGGAGAGGGCAACUUUGGGGCCGUUCCUUGUCUAUGUUCCUUGGAACAGGACGUCAUAGAGGGUGAGAAUCCCGUGUGGCGAGGAGUGCGGUUCUUUGUAGAAUGCCUUCGAAGAGUCGAGUUGUUUGGGAAUGCAGCUCUAAGUGGGUGGUAAAUCCAUCUAAAGCUAUUUAUUGGCGAGAGACCGAUAGCGAACAAGUACAGUGAUGGAAAGAUGAAAAGAACUUUGAAAAGAGAGUGAAAAAGUACGUGAAAUUGUUGAAAGGGAAGGGCAUUUGAUCAGACAUGGUGUUUUGUGCCCUCUGCUCCUUGUGGGUAGGGGAAUCUCGCAUUUUCACUGGGCCAGCAUCAGUUUUGGUGGCAGGAUAAAUCCAUAGGAAUGUAGCCUUGCCUCGGAAGUAUUAUAGCCUGUGGGAAUACUGCCAGCUGGGACUGAGGAC
Molecule: ribosomal RNA, 444 nt
Filed under: Saccharomyces cerevisiae (brewer's yeast)
Lineage: Eukaryota; Fungi; Ascomycota; Saccharomycetes; Saccharomycetales; Saccharomycetaceae
Description: LSU rRNA
Rfam family: Eukaryotic large subunit ribosomal RNA
Source: RNAcentral